RNAcentral lists this long non-coding RNA (536 nucleotides) under Homo sapiens (human). RNAcentral's name for it is "HSALNT0038022". Lineage: Eukaryota; Metazoa; Chordata; Mammalia; Primates; Hominidae. The record is from RNAcentral.
AAAGAAAUAAAGAUUAAACUAGACAUUGUUAAAAUAAAAACUUACUUAUUAGGCUCAUCAAAUGACACUGUUAAGGAAACAAGUAGCAAGUCACAGACAUAUAUCUGAUCAACAACUGAUAUUCAACAUAUAUAAAGAACUGGUAUAAUUGACAAAUAAAAAGUUAAGCAAUCUAAUUUUUUUAGAGACAGGGUCUCACCUAUGUUGCCUAGGCUGGAGUGCAGUGGCUAUUCACAGGUGCAAUCACAGUGCAAGGCAGCCUUGAACUCCUGGGCUCAAGAGAUCCUCCUGCCUCAGCCUCCCGAGUUAACAAUCUAAUUUUUAAAAUGGGCUGGCUUUCUGGGAUGAUGGUGACGAGGUCUCAGUGCCUGGAAAGGGGGUGGCAUUACCCUCAAGGAUGCUGGGAGGCUUUUUCCAGGGAGCUGACAGUAGUGACAAAGGACAUCUGAUCUUAUUUCCAUACAGUAUUAUUUUCUUUCUGUGUGUGUCUGAAAAGACAUUUAUUUCAUCUUAAUUUUGAAAGAUUUUUUGCUGGU